Macaca mulatta (Rhesus monkey) is the source of this 6005-nucleotide non-coding RNA. The record is from RefSeq and is a predicted model, not a curated record. Lineage: Eukaryota; Metazoa; Chordata; Mammalia; Primates; Cercopithecidae.
GGUGAAUGUGCCCAGGACGGCUGGGAUGAGGCCAGUGUGGGCCUGGGCUUGAUCUCCAUUCUCUGCUUUGCUGCGUCUACCUUCCCGUGGUUAAAAAGAAACUGGAACAGUAAAUGGCAGUAUGUAUAAUGGUUAAGAGCAAGACCGGAGGCUCAGGUAGGGGUUGAAUCCGAGCCGUAUGGCACAGCUUCCUCCAGGCCCAGUGAGGAGGUCAUCGUGGUAGACUGGACAGCACAGGUGUCUUGAGGACAGAAUGAGUCAACACACAUACAGAGGGCUCAGAACUGCCCUGGGCCUCAGUGCCACCACCAGCUUUGGCUUCAAACCCGCACCUGACCAGAAGUCCUAAGAGGGUCCCAGCACCGGGGACCUUUGGGAAAACAGCCAGGGGACCAAAAGCCUACCAUCUUGAUAGUGGAGCCCCAGGCACCUCAGCCCCGCCCUUCUCUGUUGCCCUCUAAAGAGAACCAGGCCGGGGUUCUGCCUGUCUUGCCUGCAGCUGCUCCUGGAGACCCGGCGUGCCCAGGCCUUCGGUCCCUGUGUCCCUUCCCCAGCACCGUUCUUGUUGCGGUGCCCCUCCCUGCAUCCAUAGGAGAAAGGAUCCAGGGUUCUAUGCAGCGGUUCUCAGGGCCCAACACAAAACUUCAGGACCCUACAUAAGCCCCAGAUCCCCACUGGAGACCCCAGGGUGUGGUGGAGGAGAAUCUGAGUAAGGCUGGGGCUUUCCCUGGAGAGAGGCAUAGCCGUAGAGCCCUUGGCUUAGCAGGGAUUCCCCGGGAGACUCCUCCAAAGAGCCGAGAAGGCUCCUGAGGAUCCUGCCCAUGGGGAAGGUGGGCCCCCAGGCCAUCUCCUCUCCAUUACCGCCUCACUCCCCUGUGGUCAUCUCUGGGCGGUGUCCCCUGUAAGGCGGCAUUCCCUGUAAGGUGGCCCGAACAUGCGUCCCCUCCUCUUCCUCUUCCACAGCCAGUUCAUCAAAGCCUACAAGACGGGCAACAUGGACCAGGCACUGUCCCUGUGGUUCCUCCUGGGCUGGAUCGGCGGAGACUCCUACAACCUCAUCGGCUCCUUCCUUGCUGACCAGCUGCCCCUGCAGUCCUACACAGCUGUGUAUUACGUCAUGGCAGACCUGGUGAUGCUGACGCUGUACUUUUACUACAAGUUCAGGAAACGCCCCUCUCCCUGGGCCCGUUCAGCAGGCACAGCUCCAGCUCCUCCUCUGUGUCCAGCCCUGGGCUUGGAGCUGGGGAAACGAGGACAAGUCACACAGGCUGCCUCUGCCCCGGCCUUCAGGAGGAGCAGGAGACAAGUGUCUGCCCCCAUCAACUCCAUGCUGCUAUUCCUCAUGGGGACGGCGUGCGCCACACCGCUGCUGAGCGCUGCUGGGCCCGUGGCUGCCCCGAGGGAAGGCUUCCGGGGACGGGCGCUCCUGUCCGUGGAGCCGGGCAGCAAGCCCUUCACCCGGCAGGAAAUCAUCGGCUUCGUCAUCGGCUCCGUCUCCAGUGUGUUGUACCUGCUCUCCCGGCUGCCUCAGAUCCGCACCAACGCGCGAUGUGGCCUGCCAGCCAGGCUGCAGGAGACCCAUGUGUGUCUUGGAGGAGUAGGAGUUCAGGGGAAGUUCCUCCGGAAGUCCACCCAGGGGAUCUCCUACUCGCUGUUUGCACUGGUGAUGCUGGGGAACACGCUGUAUGGGCUGAGCGUGCUGCUCAAAAACCCCGAGGAGGGCCAGAGCGAGGGCAGCUACCUGCUGCACCACCUGCCCUGGCUUGUAGGCAGCCUGGGCGUGCUGCUGCUCGACACCAUCAUCUCCAUCCAGUUCCUGGUGUACAGGCGCAGCGCCGCCGCCUCGGAGCUUGAGCCCCUCCUCCUCCCCAGCUGACCGAGGCCGGCUGAGCGCAGGAGGACGGGGACCACCGGAAGCCACACCAGGCAGGGGGAGGUGUGGGCAGUGAUGGUGCUGCAGCUCUGCAUCAGUGUGUGGGCGGCCUCUGGAUCCCCCAUGGACCGAACCGUCCCCUCUGGGAACACACCUUCAGGUAGACCCUGAAGCCUCGAGGCCGGGACUGGAGCGGAGACCCCACCUCUCAGGAGACAGGCUGCCCCUCCUACCACCUACCUCAUUCUGCCUACUCACCCCAGGGGCCACAGCUGCAGCCUGCGGGACUCAGGACUGUCCUGUCAACCCCAGACAACCGAGUAAACAGGCCGGGUGUGGUGGCUCACACCUGUCAUCCCAGAACUUUGGGAGGCGGAAGCGGGUGGAUCACUUGACGUCCGGAGUUCGAGACCAGCCUGGCCAACAUGGUGAAACCCCGUCUCUACCAAAAAUACAAAAAUUAGCCAGGUGUGGUGGCACCUGGGAGUGCCAGCUUCUUGGGAGGCUGAGGCAGGAGAAUUGUUUGAACCCGGGAGACAGGGGUUGCAGUGAGCUGAGAUCGUGUCACUGCACUCCAGCCUGGGUGACAGAGUGAGACACCAUCUCAAAAAAAUAAAAAAGACAACCGAGGAAACGGUACCUCCCCGCGAGACCUGCUUCUGUUGCUCCUUCCCCAAGGUGCUGAGGGAUCGGGGCUGCUUUGGGGACCAGUGGUGGAUGUGGAUGGGGAUCCAGGAUGAGCCAAGCAGAGGGGAGCACAUCUGUCUGUAGCCCUGGCCCAGCCUCCUGGGGCCUCUGGUUUCUUUAGCCUGCUUGUCUGUGCCCUCUUCUGACAGGCUCCACACCUCACUGUGGGGACGCAGCAGGGAGAGAGACUCCCCACGGGGAGCCUGCCCCUCGGUGCGCAGGAAGCAGCAGAGUGGUGAAGUUUCUGUCGGAUCUGGGUUGUGCGUUGCAGCUCCUCGGUGCCUAGCUUAUCUCAUCUGUGAAAUGGACAGUACUACCACUUCCUAUGUCCCUUCAAGGAUUACAUAAGAUGCUGACAUUAUGCAGCUUAGCCCCAAACGUGGCGCAUAGUAAGGGCUCAAUAAAGGUUAGUUUUGAGGACUUUUAGUUGGAGAAGAGGAGCAACCAGAUCUCCUUGGAGAUCAGGGAGAGCCUCCUGGAGAAGGUGACAGGUCAGAAGGAUGAGCGGGAGAUAUCAAAGGGAAAGAUAGGAUUGAAGGCAGGAGGAAGAAGUGGCGGGUACAGAAGCAAGGUGGGAGGGUGGAGAGGAAGGCAGGGCUGAGCCCUGAGUGCUUCCUGGACCCCCAAACUCAGUGUUUUCCAGACCCUGUUUUUUUAUUUUUAAAUUUUUUUUAGCCCAGGCUGGAGUACAGUGGUGCGAUCAUAGCUCACUGCAGCCUCGAACUCCUGGGUUCCAGGAAUCCUCCCGCUCAGCCUCCCAAGGAGCUGGGACUACAGAUGCUCACCACCACGCCUGGCUCCAGACCCUGUCUGAUUCCACUUUGCUGGGGGUCAUGACCCUCAGGUACUUGGAGCACAGAGGCGCCAGCUACCCACCUUGCCGGCCUGAUCUCACCCCACACACCCAACCCUAGCUCUGGAAAACCAGAACUAGGGACUUGGGGCAUCCGGUGGGGUAGUCUUGGGGAGAGAAGCUGUGUCUCCAGAGUGAGCCUUGCCUUUAGAAUCUCGCUUCCCAGCCCCGGAGAAGGGAGAUAGCGCCGCGCCAUUCUGGCGCUGCAGAUGCUUGGUGAGUGCAGCCCUCCGCUCGGCCUUUGCCAUGUCAGACACCCGGGCUGUGGUGAACCAGCUCCAAGACCCUGCCUUCCAGGAGAAGAGACGGUUACCAUGACCAGAGGGCAGAAAGGCCAGGAAAUGAGCAGAUGAGACCAGCCCCAGGAGGGUCAAUCAGGGAAGGCUUCUCAGAGGAGUGGCCUUUGAGCUGGAUCUUGAAGGCAGAGGGGAGGGCAACUCAGGAAAAGGGAGGGGCAGGUACAGAGGCCUGGAGUUGGGUGUCUGGGCUGCUUCCAAGGCGGGGCUGCUUCCAAGGAGCCUGAAAAGCCGCACCAAUGCCAAGGACAAGGUCCUGGAGCACACCCAGCAGCAGCCCAGCAGCAGGGGAUGGGGUUUGGUCGGGGAAGAGCCUUUUGCUGGAGAGAGGAGGCGAGGCACACCUCUGAGACCCAGGUGAGCAGAGAGGGCCAGUCUCCCCUGCCCCAUCCUCCUAGGGUCACCCACGGAGCCCGGGAUGCCAUCUGGCCUGCAGCUGUCAGUUGCACACUUGCUAUAUGCGGGCUGCGUCGCCUGCCGUCAGUGCGCGAGAUCUCCCGUCUUCACAGCCAGCUCUGAGAUGGGGGAGUUUUUAUUUUUAUUAUUUUUUUGUUGUUGUUUUAUUUUUUUUGAGACAGAGUCUUGCUCUGUUGCCCAGGCUGGAGUGCAAUGGUGCGAUCUCAGCUCACUGCAACCUCCACCUCCUGGGUCCAAGCGAUUCUCCUGCCUCAGCCUCCUGAGUAGCUAGGAUUACAGGUGCCCGCCAACACACCCAGCUAAUUUUUGUAUUUUUAGUAGAGAUGUGGUUUCGCCAUGUUGGCCAGGCUGGUCUCGAACUCCUGACCUCAGGUGAUCUGCCCGCCUCAGCCUCCCAAAGUGCUGGGAUUACAGGUGUGCCACCACGCCCAGCCAAGAUGGGAGUAUUCUUAUGGCCAUUUUACAAAUGGGAAAACAGGCUCAGUGCAAUUGAGCAACUUGCCCAGCUAGGAGCAGCAGCAACACGAGGCCCUCCAGCUGCGGGGGCCACCCCAUGCCUGGCCAACAUUGGCGACCCGUGUCCCCUUCCUCCGUGCUGGGGGCCCAGGGCUUGUGGCAGUCCAGCCUCACCCUCAGGAGUGGCCCGAACCCUGCUGGGCCCAGGCUCCCUUCUCACCAUCCUGAAUAGUGACUUUCCUGAGCCUCUGGCCCUGCUGAGAUUUCAGGAUAAGUUACCCCCAGGUCCCCAGCCCCCGCUUGCCCUGGCCUGUGCCUGCCACAGGUGCCAGCCUCAGGUGCCAGCCAGAUGCCUUGUUCCACCUGGGUCUGGGACCUGGCUCCACCCCAGUUACCUGGGACCAGUAGGUGCCCCUUCAGCCUGAAGAUCUGGGGGCACCAUAUGGCCACAUGAGUGCCAUGUGUGGGCCUGAACUGGUGCUGGGUGGGGAAGAGUGAGACGGGAUAACACAGCCCCUGUGUGGAGGCCCUUGUCUGAUGGGCUGAUGUAAUCCCUUCCUCCUGGGAAACACCAGCUUUUGGGGUGAUAGCACUUUCGGGCAGGAGCUAUGGUUCCUUCCUCCCCCUGGGGAGUGCCCUGUGUGAUGGAGGCAAUACAGCCCCUACCCUCAGAGGGCAGCUGGCCUGCAGCUCAUCCAAACCUGAGUCUCCUCUCCCUUGGAGGCCUCAUUCCGGUGCCCCAAGUAGGAUUCAAACUGCUGGGGCUGGAAGAACUUGGUGGCCUGGGUGCCUGGAGCCCUGUUGAAGGAGCUGGUGACAUCCAGAUGCUGGAGGCAGGUGGCAGGGAGCACAGACUUUGUGUCCUGCACACUGAGCUCCGAGUGUGCCCCAGCCACCGUGAGCCUUGUGACUUGAGCAGACAUCUGAAGCCGUUUCUUCAUCCCAUGAGACCAAUAACACCGCCUGCCUCAGAACAGAGCCGUGAUCAAGAUGAGCACGGAGGCUCGUGUCCCGGCACCUGGCACACAGAUUGUACGGCUGAUGAAGGCGACAGCGCAAGGAGCAGCUGGUUUCCUGAAGGGAAAUGCCCUGAGAGGAGAGCGGGCCUGAGCCUCGGGGGGUCACUCUCAGGGCGGCGGGGCCGGGGACCGGACACUUCCUUGCUGCUGUGAGCAGGGCCCACACACGUCCCCGCUUGGAGCCAGCGCGCAGCCACGGCCACACGCGCUUGGAAAGUGAGGCCGGCGAGAAGGAACACAGAAGGCCAGCGCUAACUGCGUCCCAGUUUCUUUUUUAUUAAUUUUUUUCUUUUUUUUUUUUUUUUUAAGUAUGGAGGCUCAAGUAUAAGAUGUAGAUUUUUUUUCUUAAGCUUUACAAAAAAACAAAAUAAAACAAAAACCUCCUUUUGCAUUCCAUAGAAAUU